This is a ribosomal RNA of Macaca fascicularis (crab-eating macaque), 127 nucleotides long. The record is from Ensembl. NCBI's taxonomy places the organism in Eukaryota, Metazoa, Chordata, Mammalia, Primates, Cercopithecidae.
GUCUACUGCCAUACCAUCCUGAACGAUUCUGAUCUCAUCUGAUCUUGGAAGAUAAGAAGAUAAGCAGGGUCGGGCCUGGUUAGUACUUGGAUGGGAGAUCACCUGUGUAUACCGGGUGUUGUAGGCU